RNAcentral lists this ribosomal RNA (354 nucleotides) under uncultured bacterium. RNAcentral describes it as "partial 16S ribosomal RNA". It matches the Rfam family "Bacterial small subunit ribosomal RNA", at positions 355 to 725 of the family's 1533-position model. The record is from RNAcentral.
UGGGGAAUAUUGCACAAUGGGCGAAAGCCUGAUGCAGCAACGCCGCGUGAGUGAUGAAGGUCUUCGGAUUGUAAAGCUCUGUCUUUUGGGACGAUAAUGACGGUACCAAAGGAGGAAGCCACGGCUAACUACGUGCCAGCAGCCGCGGUAAUACGUAGGUGGCGAGCGUUGUCCGGAUUUACUGGGCGUAAAGGGUGCGUAGGCGGAUGUUUAAGUGAGAUGUGAAAUACCCGGGCUUAACUUGGGUGCUGCAUUUCAAAGCUGGAUAUCUAGAGUGCAGGAGAGGAGAAUGGAAUUCCUAGUGUAGCGGUGAAAUGCGUAGAGAUUAGGAAGAACACCAGUGGCGAAGGCGAU